This 27-nucleotide non-coding RNA is filed under the name Homo sapiens (human). Lineage: Eukaryota; Metazoa; Chordata; Mammalia; Primates; Hominidae. The record is from RNAcentral.
UAGACUUGCUGAAUGGUUGUGACCAAA